This 424-nucleotide ribosomal RNA is filed under the name uncultured bacterium. RNAcentral describes it as "partial 16S ribosomal RNA". It matches the Rfam family "Bacterial small subunit ribosomal RNA", at positions 360 to 776 of the family's 1533-position model. The record is from RNAcentral.
AAUAUUGGACACAGGGGGGAACCCCGAUCCAGCCACGCCGCGUGUGUGAAGAAGGUCUUCGUAUUGUAAUGCACUUUAAGUUGGGAGGAAGAGUUUUAGGCUAAUACCUUGCAAUUUUGACGUUACCAACAGAAUAAGCACCGGCUAACCUCGUGCCAGCCGCCGCGGUAAUACGAAGGGUGCAAGCGUUAAUCGGAAUUACUGGUCGUAAAGCGCGGGUAGGUGGUUCGGUAAGUUGGAAGUGAAAGCCCCGGGGUUAACCUGGGAAUUGCUUUCAAAACUGACGAGCUAGAGUACGGUAGAGGGUAGUGGAAUUUCCUGUGUAGGGGUGAAAUGCGUAGAUAUAGGAAGGAACAUCAGUGGCGAAGGCGAAUACCUGGAAUGAUACUGACACUGAGGUGCGAAAGCGUGGGGAGGAAACAGG